This is a non-coding RNA of Oryctolagus cuniculus (rabbit), 3414 nucleotides long. NCBI's taxonomy places the organism in Eukaryota, Metazoa, Chordata, Mammalia, Lagomorpha, Leporidae. The record is from RefSeq and is a predicted model, not a curated record.
CUCACUGUCAGUUGUGUCAUCAUCAUGCUUCUAAUUAGUUCAUUUUUAUUUGGUCGAUAUGUCUUCGACAAGCUACACGGGUCAUUCACAUUCGAUGACUUUCCUCUCUUAGAAUGUAUUUUUAUCACAGCAGACACGUGUCAGGGGGAAGACACAGAACUCUGGAGCCACACAUCUCCCCGACAUCUCUACCGCUUCCCUGUGUUCUGAUUAGGAGCGUUAGCUAAUAAUCAGAUAACGGCUUUCUUGUUAGGAUGCAGCUGUGUGGGACAACGCUUGACGUUUCUCCUCUCCCUCUCUCAACAUGUGAAGAUUUUGCAUUUUGUUUAUGAUUUCUUUGUUGGAAAGACCCUGCUGGAACCGAACAUGUCCUGCAUUUUGACACGGGAUAAAAGACUGCGGCAGACUCUGUUUAGGUCUGUGAAGUGGGAAUUAUGAAUCUAUUUCACCUAAGAAACAAACAAGCAGGCCCUUGCUUGCCUAGCAGGUGGACCCCCAAGUGCCUUUGUGGCCCGACCUGCAGAGAAGUGUAAGAUGAGGUGCGGGGCCCAAGCACUUGGGCCUUCUUCUACUGCUUUCCCAGGCCACAGCAGAGAGCUGGAUCAGAAGAGGAGCAGCAGCCAGGACUCGAACCGGCGCCCAUAUGGAAUGCUGGUGCCACAGGCAGAGGCUUAACCUACUAUGUCAUCGCGCCGGCCCCAGUACAUUAAAUUUAAUGCAGGCAUAACUGAAGGCAUGUAGAUUGACUAGAAGUUUCUUGCAGUUGAAGGAUAGUGUUCUGGCCUACAGGAAUGGCAGUGGGCACGAGAGCAGUGGACAACUUUCAGAGAAUUGGAAGCUACAGAACUAGUGACUGGCAGAAAUGGGUAGAUGGUGAGGGAGAGUGAGAGACAAGGGUGCGACCCAAUUGCUGACUUGGGGGCGGGGCAGAGGCAGAGAAGUAGGUGGAUGUGGAGAGAUCUGUUCUGCUUUCUCCUCCAGGCUGGUUGGAUCCAAGUGGAAAUGUUGAGUAAGUCUGAGCUUAGGACGGAAUCUGGGUAAAGCAUCUAAUUAGAGAGUAAUUUUAUUUCUUUUUGCUUUACUGCUCUUUGGAAGUACUGGAGACUAAUUUUUGUAUGUGAUGGUAAGGCAGUCCACACAUUUUCUUUUUUAAAGAUUUAUUUUAUUUAUUUGAAAGACAGAGUUACAGAGAGGGGUAGAGCCAGAGAGAGGUCUUCCAUCCGCUGGUUCAUUCCCCAGAUGGCCACAACUGCAGGAGCUGUGCUGAUCUGAAGCCAGGAGCCAGGAGCUUCUUCUGGGUCUCCCACGUGGGUGCAGGAGCCCAAGCACCUGGGCCAUCUUCCACUGCUUUCCCAGGCUAUAGCAGAGCUGGGUUGGAAGAGGAGCAGCUGGGACUCAAACUGGCACCCAUAUGGGAUGCCGGGGUUUCAGGCCAGGGCUUUAACCUGCAGCGUCACAGUGCCGACCCCUAAUCCACACAUUUUCAAGAGAUAGCCAAGGAAGAAUGAAUCUGGAGAGAAGGGGAUAUUCUAAAGAUACUGGAGGUCAGCAACAAGCAUGAGUAGAUGGACACGGGAGGUAACAGAAAGAGGAAGGAAACCCAGCAGACUGUGGGGCUGGGAAGACAGAGGGUGCCUGGAUGAGAGGGGCGGGGUCUCUUCUAUCGAGUGCUACUGAGAUAUAAGGCAAGACUUCUGCUGAGCUCUUAAUUGAUGACUUCAAUUCUCUUUGGGCAGCAGGGGAGAAAGUUUUCGGAUGAGAGUGAGUUUCAAGAGAUUUGAGCACAGAGUUUCCGGGCAGGUUUCCAGCAUGAUGUAGGAGGCAGGGUGAGCUAAUCUAUGCAAUGCAUUUUUGUAUGAUGCCUGGCAGGGGUUAAGUACACAGUCCAUGCUGCCAGCUACGAUAAUGGUACCGAAUUGUUCAGCGCUGUGGUUUCUCUCUCACAGUGAUUAGCACCCGGGAUGCCAGCACAAGACAGCUACAGGAUGCAUGCAUUCUGAGGGGGAUUUUGUGGAGAAGCAAGAGAGAGGAACUAGAGAAUUGUGGAAGUUGGCGAGUGUGAUAGAUGUAUUGUUCCGUGAAAUCUUUACUGGAUUGAAACAUUGAAUUAAAAAAAUACAAGGACAACAGAGGGCGAGUGGGAGCUCUGAGGAUGAGCGGGAGCUGCCAGACAAAGAGACAGUAGGGGUCCUUGGGCCAGAAGGUCUCGAUGGUGUUAAGGCGCUGGUGUGGUGGGAGUGCUGGAGUGAAGGAAGUACGGGAGGCUGAGGGGUGGGAAGUGAAUGAGCAGCCAUCCCCAGUGGCAGUCCUCGGGGACGCCAGGGAGGGUCCCUGGCAGUGAGCUGACCCAGGACCGAGAACCCAAGGGGUAGGACCUGAACGUUGCACAGUCACUCAGGAUGACAAUAGCACUCGGGGGAGAGGGGAGAACCAGGAAGCUGGCAGUGACAGAUAUAUUGUUCAGGCCAUAGUUGGGAAUGGGUGAUAUGUCUGAGACUGGUUUAUCAGUCAGGGUUCUCCGGAGAAAUAGAACUAAUAGGAUUAACCAUCAGCUGUCUGUCUGUCUGUCUGUCUAUCUAUCAUAUCUAUCUCUAUCUAUUUAUCUAUCUAUCUAUCUAUAUAUAUAUAUAUUUUGACAGGCAGAGUUAGAUAGUGUGAGAGAGAGACAGAGAGAAAGGUCUUCCUUCUGUUGGUUCACCCCCAAAAUGGCCACUAUGGCUGGUGUGCUGUGCUGAUCCGAAGCCAGGAGCCAGGUGCUUCUCCUGGUCUCCCAAGGGGUGCAGGGCCCAAGCACUUGGGCCAUCCUCCACUGUGCUCCCGGGCCACAGCAGAGAGCUGGACUGGAAGAGGAGCAGCUGGGACAGAACCGGUGCCCUGAAUGGGACUAGAACCUGGAGUACCGGCGCCGCAGGCGGAGGAUUAGCCUAGUGAGCCGCGGCGCCAGCCUAUCUAUCUUUUGCAACUUUUGCAACUGAUCAAGGUAUCUGGGUAUAACCCCUGUAGAUGUUCAAUGCAAAAGUCCAGUUGGAUGCCCCAAGAGACAUACCAGCCAAUCACUUGGGUUCUACAUGCAACUCCUCCUUGGAUCCACUGUAUAGGAAAACUCUACUAGGGACAGGAUUCGCCACUCCUAUCAACGUCUCCUCUGUUUGCCAGCUGGCCGUUUUGCGCCAGGGUGUCUGGGUGAGAAUUGCAGUGUGUGGACUCUGUUAUGUUCACUUGGAUGGAAGCUUCCUGACUACCACCCAGCCACCCCUGGACCAGGACUUCUGAUCUGACGGUGAGCACAGACGCCCUGGGGGCAGGGGCCGUCACUGAAGGAGGUGGUGACAGAGGCCAGUCUCUCCUCCACACCAACCUUUUGCAGGUGUUCAACGUGUGUUUUUGUAUUUGUUUUAACUUUAUGAUGGUGUG